RNAcentral lists this long non-coding RNA (291 nucleotides) under Elaeis guineensis (African oil palm). Its description in RNAcentral is "long non-coding RNA (EGUI_LNC020827)". Lineage: Eukaryota; Viridiplantae; Streptophyta; Magnoliopsida; Arecales; Arecaceae. The record is from RNAcentral.
UCCUACGUAUUAAUGGGUUAAGACGUCUGUUUUUGGCUUUCUAGUAUUCAGAAUCCUUCGCUUAAUGGGUUAAGACGUCUGUUUUUGGCUUUCUAGUAUUCAGAAUCCUUCGCUUAGAAAGUAAUUGGGACGCGGAAGCAUGGAAGUCGCUAGGGAGGCCCCAUCAGGAAAAAUAACAGAGAGAAAAAGUAUUUUUAAAAGAAGCGAAGUUGUCGCCUCCGGGCGCCCUUGCUGUCAUCAACUACGAAUGCUGGCAUUUUCGUCUAGAUCAACAUAUUAUAUUUUCUCGAA